Molecule: ribosomal RNA, 119 nt
Organism: Lupinus angustifolius (narrow-leaved blue lupine)
Lineage: Eukaryota; Viridiplantae; Streptophyta; Magnoliopsida; Fabales; Fabaceae
Source: Rfam
AGGUGCGAUCAUACCAGCACUAAUGCACCGGAUCCCAUCAGAACUCCGCAGCUAAGCGUGCUUGGUCGAGAGUAGUACUAGGAUGGGUGACCUCCUGGGAAGUCCUCGUGUUGCACCUC